CUGUUCAACAGUGAGACCCCCUGCAUAUGUGUGACCUGUUCCUCCUGGGAGACCAGCCCUAAACUAGUUUGAACCUGACCAGGUUCUGUCUACACAGGAGACCUCUCCAAGUCCUGUCUGCACUGAUGAUGCUUAAUGAGACUGUGCACUUUCUGCAGUGGGAACAUUUAGCCUUGACCUUGUACUCUUUGCACUGGGACAUGGGGACCCGGGUGGAGGCCUGGCCUGGCCUCUGUCUGGGAAACUCCGUGCCUGCAUCUGAGUGUCAGUGCUCAGAUGUCUGGGCUCUGGGGCUGGGUAGGCUUCUCUGGGAGCGAUGCUCUCCUCUGAGUGGGCUUCCCUGGCCCUCCCGGGGGUCAGUGCUGCGGUCGGGCUCCUAGUCUGUCCCCUGCCAGGUUCAUCUCCCUGGGGCUCCUGGAGACCCCUCAGUUGGGCUCCCUGGUAAUUACUCCAAUUUUCCAGCACAUUCAGGUUGAGUAGGGAGGCAGGUUCACCUGGUGAAUUGAUUCCAGGGCACAGGGAUCACGCAAAAAGUCAAUGGGCAGCAGGUGAGGUUGCUGCUGUGACCUCCUCCCAGUCUACUCUCUCCUCGAAUGAGAACAGAGCUGCCCCUCGUCUCUCAGCCCAGCUCUCCUGUUUUCUCAGCACCUCAGCGGGACAAGAAGGACAGAGCCUGCCAGAACCAAGUUGACCAUCCCUACUUAGCAGAGACCAGACCUGCCCCUCGUCUCCCAGCCCUGCACCUGGUGUGUUUUCUCAACACCUCAGUGGAACAAGAAAGGACUGAGCCUGCCAGAACCAAGGUAGUGUUCAACAUUAUCAUGACAGCUGUAAAAACAGUUAAUAUCACACAGAACCAAAGGGAAGAGACGAGGGCUUUUCUGGGACAAGUGUGGGGAGAGGAGACCGACCCUACACUUCUUUCUACCAUCCCAGGAGGUUACAGGAACCCACUCAUUUCCACCUUAGAAUCCCAACCAGCAGAGACCUGGGGUCCUAACCAAGGGUCGUGGGACCCCAGGUCCUGGGUCUAG
RNAcentral lists this long non-coding RNA (1034 nucleotides) under Ovis aries (sheep). RNAcentral describes it as "lncRNA (ENSOARG00000026439.1)". The record is from RNAcentral. Lineage: Eukaryota; Metazoa; Chordata; Mammalia; Artiodactyla; Bovidae.